Long non-coding RNA from Aquila chrysaetos chrysaetos, 998 nucleotides. RefSeq lists it as uncharacterized. The record is from RefSeq and is a predicted model, not a curated record. The transcript has 3 exons. Lineage: Eukaryota; Metazoa; Chordata; Aves; Accipitriformes; Accipitridae.
AAAGUGGUGGUGCAGCUGGACGCUGUGCUCUGUGUGAGUUGAGGAGCGGGUUGAGGCAGAGCACACCAGCUUUCGGGUACCCGUGCCGAAGUUCAAGAAAUUCCAGGGGCUGGGAGCCAAACAUCUGUGUUUCCCCUUGGGAGGUGCCAAACGCUAUGUUCCCCCCAUGAAUCGGGCAAGCUUAGGACCUUGUUUUCUCAGCCGGCAGAGUUGUGAGAGCUCGGGCAGGGUGACACAGCUGGCACCAGAAACAAUGCACCACCUCUUCCUCCUGAGAAGCUGAAGGUCAGAGAACAAGUGGGAAAGUUCAGAAGGAGCCCAUGGAGAAAAGAAGUGCGAAGGUCCCAAAACGUGGCUUGUUCCUUACGGUAUUGCAUGCGCUGAGACCAAGCACCUGGAGUCAGAUGCCUCUUGGGUGCACAGCUUGGACCCACAUUGCAUGUCCUGGAGAAAGGUGGCUGGAGAAAGGAGAAUCUUGGGGUUAAGUAAAAGCUUCAGAGAAAUUCUAUCUUAUCACACUUCAUUUCCGAGGCUGCAAAAACGAGAAGCCUCCCAGUUUUGUUAUGGGCCAGGUUUAGUAGUGUCUGAGAGGAGCUACUGGGAGAAACGCUUCAUGGAUACUGGGAAAUGAAAAAUAAUAAAAGAAGAAGAUGAGUUACGGUAAUUUGUUGUUUAGACAUAUUCAGUUUGUCCAUCUGACCUUUGGAGGGCAGAUGGGAAAACAAAGUACUUCAGGUUUCCUGAUGGCUUAUUGGGAACAGUUUGUGUUCAGGGCAUUGCCAAAUUUCAGCAGAAUGUCUCCUGAGGAGCCGAGGAACAACUCGUGACAACCAAGAUCCCUACCAAUUUGUCUUGUGUCCACUCUGCAUGUGUUCUGGAUCCUGAUAAUACAUGUGGGAUGACUGUAAGGUGGUUGUUACAAACUGUUCCUUGAGAUGUUUCACCAUGACACUCAGCACAGGAUAUACAAUACCAUUAAAAUAACUCGUUACCAAGUU